This 428-nucleotide ribosomal RNA is filed under the name uncultured bacterium. Its description in RNAcentral is "partial 16S ribosomal RNA". It matches the Rfam family "Bacterial small subunit ribosomal RNA", at positions 354 to 796 of the family's 1533-position model. The record is from RNAcentral.
GUAGGGAAUAUUGCGCAAUGGAUGAAAGUCUGACGCAGCGACGCCGCGUGAGUGAUGAAGGCCUUAGGGUCGUAAAGCUCUGUUGAAUGGGAAGAAAAAAAUGACGGUACCAUUCGAGGAAGGACCGGCUAACUUCGUGCCAGCAGCCGCGGUAAUACGAGGGGUCCUAGCGUUGUUCGGAAUCAUUGGGCGUAAAGGGUGUGUAGGUGGCCUGGUAAGUCAGGUGUGAAAGCCCCGGGCUCAACCCGGGAAGUGCACUUGAUACUGCGUGGCUUGAGUACCGAAGAGGGUAGUGGAAUUCCAGGUGUAGUGGUGAAAUACGUAGAUAUCUGGAGGAACACCGGUGGCGAAGGCGGCUACCUGGUCGAGUACUGACACUGAGACACGAAAGCAUGGGGAUCAAACAGGAUUAGAUACCCGAGUAGUCC